Molecule: ribosomal RNA, 428 nt
Filed under: uncultured bacterium
Lineage: Bacteria
Description: partial 16S ribosomal RNA
Rfam family: Bacterial small subunit ribosomal RNA
Source: RNAcentral
GUGGGGAAUAUUGGGCAAUGGGCGCAAGCCUGACCCAGCAACGCCGCGUGAAGGAAGAAGGCUUUCGGGUUGUAAACUUCUUUUACCAGGGACGAAACAAAUGACGGUACCUGGUGAAUAAGCCACGGCUAACUACGUGCCAGCAGCCGCGGUAAUACGUAGGUGGCGAGCGUUAUCCGGAUUUAUUGGGUGUAAAGGGCGUGUAGGCGGGACAGCAAGUCAGAUGUGAAAACCAGAGGCUCAACCUCUGGCCUGCAUUUGAAACUGUUGUUCUUGAGUGUCGGAGAGGUAAUCGGAAUUCCGUGUGUAGCGGUGAAAUGCGUAGAUAUACGGAGGAACACCAGUGGCGAAGGCGGAUUACUGGACGAUAACUGACGCUGAGGCGCGAAAGCGUGGGGAGCAAACAGGAUUAGAUACCCCGGUAGUCC